AUGAUCUUCAACGCCUUCGUGCUCUGCCAGGUGUUCAACGAGUUCAACGCGCGGGAGAUCGAGAAGAAAAACGUGUUCGCCGGGGUGCUCAAGAACAGGAUGUUCCUGGUCAUCAUCGCCGUCACGCUCAUGCUGCAGGUGGUCAUGGUGGAGGUGCUCACCAGGUUCGCCGGCACCAAGAGGCUGGGGCUGGGGCAGUGGGCCGUCUGCCUCGCAAUCGCCGCCGUGUCGUGGCCCAUCGGCUGGGCCGUCAAAUUCAUCCCCGUGCCGGACCGGACUGUCCUCACACGCCAGAAAUCGUCAUGA
This 306-nucleotide ribosomal RNA is filed under the name Triticum aestivum (bread wheat). RNAcentral describes it as "partial small subunit ribosomal RNA". Lineage: Eukaryota; Viridiplantae; Streptophyta; Magnoliopsida; Poales; Poaceae. The record is from RNAcentral.